CCUACGGGCGGCAGCAGUGAGGAAUAUUGGUCAAUGGGCGCGAGCCUGAACCAGCCAAGUAGCGUGAAGGAUGACUGCCCUACGGGUUGUAAACUUCUUUUAUAAAGGAAUAAAGUGAGGCACGUGUGCCUUUUUGUAUGUACUUUAUGAAUAAGGAUCGGCUAAUUCCGUGCCAGCAGCCGCGGUAAUACGGAGGAUCCGAGCGUUAUCCGGAUUUAUUGGGUUUAAAGGGAGCGUAGAUGGGUUGUUAAGUCUGUUGUGAAAGUUUUCGGCUCAACCGUAAAAUUGCAAUUGAUACUGGCGGUCUUGAGUACAGUUAAGGUAGGCGGAAUUCGUGGUGUAGCGGUGAAAUGCUUAGAUAUGACGAAGAACUCCGAUUGCGAAGGCAGCUUACUAAACUGCCACUGACAUUGAUGCUCGAAAGUGUGGGUAUCAAACAGGAUUAGAUACCCUGGUAGUC
RNAcentral lists this ribosomal RNA (460 nucleotides) under uncultured bacterium. RNAcentral describes it as "partial 16S ribosomal RNA". It matches the Rfam family "Bacterial small subunit ribosomal RNA", at positions 338 to 795 of the family's 1533-position model. The record is from RNAcentral.